GGGAUGAUGCCCAUUGAUGAUCUAAAGAAUAUUGUGUACCUGCUUACAGAUUUGUCGUGUUUGAAUAUAAUUUUUAAAUGUUUUCACUAAAAAGAACCUGGCCCCUUUAAUAAAGGAGCAGUAUGUGCCAGCCAUCCUGAGACUGGUGGGGAAAACUGCUAGAAGCCUAUGACAUAGCUCAGCAAUAAACAAACUCCCAUGUGGAUAUAAAUAACUUAUCACAAACACCAGAACCAGUGGAGAAAAGGCUGCCAAACCUCAGGCUCAAAUGGCACUUGGGACAGGUCAUGUUAGAAAAGAGCCAUAACCAGAAAUACACCAGAACUCCAGAAUAGAGAAGGUCACAGGACAAGUCUCAACAAAAUUACCCUUGUUUGGAGAACUUCAAAAAAUUAUCAGAUGAGAACUCACAGAAGGCCAGCAAACUCCACACAGUCAUGCAACCAGAGCCUCAGACAAUGGCCCCUUCUGCUGAGGACCCUUAAAUAAGCUUCUGAGGGAGACUGCCGUUUUCCCAAAACAGCGCCCCCUGUCAGCAGGAAGCAGUUAAGAUCAGUCUUCGUCCUUAUCCUUAUCCUUAUUCUAAUGGCAGUUAGAUGUACUUCUUCAGAGUGGCAGAAUUAGGUAGCCAAGUAAGAAGCGCCCCCUGGCAGAACCUCUGACCAGCUUGCCCACUGGGAGGAGUGCGCACUGGGGUGGAACGUUGGAAAGUUCACACCAUUUGCAUGGGGGAGGAGCCUGGCCUCUCCUGAUGUGGGGCGGUAACCUGGGAUUCAAUCUGUGAGGUGGGAAGCCAGCUAGCGAGACUCUCACUUCGCCGAGUGUCUCUGUUUCCCUUUUUUCCUUUUCACCCAAUAAAUUCCAUUUUUCUCACCCUUCAAAUUGUCUGCGGGGCUAAUCUUUGAUGGUCAAGUGACAAGAACCUGGCUUUUAGCUGAACUAAGGAGAAAGUCCUACAACAAACAUUAGGAUAGUGCUGAGGGGAAAUGUGGGGUUGGAGCCCCCACACAGUCCCCACCAGGGCACUAUCUAGUGAAGCUGUGGCAAUGGGGCCACUGCCUCAAUAGCUAAGAAUGGUAGAGCCAUCAGUAGCUCGCACCCUGAGCCUGGAAAAGCCGCAGUCACUCAAAGCCAACAUGUGAGACCAGCCACAGGGGCUGACCUGUGAAAAGUCACAGAGGCAGAGCUGCCCAAGGCCUUGUGAGCCCACCCUUUGUACCAGUGUGCCCUGGAUGCAGAACAUGGAGUUAACAAGAUUAUUUUGGACAUUAAGUUUGAAUGUUUGCCCUGCUGUGUUUCAGACUUGCAUGGAGCCUGUUGCACCUUCCUUUUGGCCAAUUUCUCCCUUUUGGAAUGGGAAUGUUGACCCAAUGAUACUAUUAUACAAUGAUACUAUUGUAUUUUGGAAGUAAAUAACUUGUUUUUGAUCUGACAGGCUCAUAGGUGGAAGGAACUUACCCUGAGUCUCAAGUGAGGCUUUAGACUUUUGAGUUAAUGCUGAAAUGAUUAAGACUUUGGGGGACUAUUGCAAAGGGAUGAUGCAUAUUGCAAUGUGAGGAGGACAUAAGAUUUGGGGGGCCAGAGGUUAAAUGAUAUAGUU
Molecule: long non-coding RNA, 1600 nt
Organism: Homo sapiens (human)
Lineage: Eukaryota; Metazoa; Chordata; Mammalia; Primates; Hominidae
Exons: 3
Source: RefSeq, a predicted model, not a curated record